AUGGCGAUGGAGGUGGCAGCAGCUGGGGCCGUGGACGGACAGCGAUCCAGCAAGUUCGUCGCGGCGUUGUCGAGAACGAGCGCGACCUUCCUCUUCUUCUCCGUCGUCGUCGUCGGAGCGGUCGCCGUAUCCACUCGCUGGAUCACCACCACCACCUCUACUUUGCAGGUAAGCUUCCCGACCACCGCGGCCAUUCCCGCCGCCGCCGCCGUUCUCCACCCCAAAACACAGCACCCCAGCCCAUCACCGCAGUUGCCCUCCAGACCACCACGACCGCCACCUGCCGCCUACUCCAUCUCUUGCCCCACCCCUCCCCUCCGUCGCAACACCUCCCACGCCGCCAGAGCGAGCAAAUCUUCCCAAACCCUGGGCCUCGCGCUCUCCUCCUCGUCGUCCUGCCGCUCCGACCCCGACCUUCCACCAGCCACCACCUCCGCCACCGCCGCCCGCUCACCCUCCAACUCCUCGUGCCCAUCCUACUUCCGCUUCAUCCACGAGGACCUCCGCCCAUGGCGCGCGGCGGGGGGCGUCACCCGCGCCAUGCUCGCGCGCGCCCGCGCCACCGCCAGCUUCCGCCUCGUCGUGCUGCGGGGCCGCGCCUUCGUGCAGCGGUUCCGCCCGGCGUUCCAGACGCGCGACCUCUUCACCAUCUGGGGGAUUCUCCAGCUGCUCCGCCGCUACCCCGGCCGCGUCCCCGACCUCGACCUCAUGUUCGACUGCGUCGACUGGCCCGUCGUCCGCGCGCACCUCUACCGCGGGGAGCACGCCCCCUUCAUGCCGCCGCUCUUCCGGUACUGCGGGGAUGACAGGACGCUGGACAUCGUCUUCCCAGAUUGGUCAUUCUGGGGCUGGCCGGAGAUCAACAUAAAACCAUGGGAUGCGCUGUAUAAAGAUUUGAAGGAUGGUAAUAGUAAAGGAAAAUGGUUCAGUAGAGAACCUUAUGCUUACUGGAAAGGGAAUGCAGCAGUUGCGACAUCACGGCAGGAAUUGGUUAAGUGUAAUGUCUCCAGCACGCAAGAUUGGAAUGCAAGGAUUUACACUCAGGACUGGUUCAAAGAGAGCAAGGAAGGGUAUAAGACCUCGAAUUUGGGCAGUCAGUGCACUCACAGGUACAAGAUCUAUAUAGAAGGAUCAGCAUGGUCUAUCAGUCAGAAAUAUAUUCUAGCAUGCGAUUCAAUGACACUGUUGGUCACACCAAAAUACUAUGAUUUCUUUUCAAGGUCUCUUAUGCCGCUUCAGCAUUAUUGGCCAGUUCGGGAUGACAAUAAAUGCGCCUCAAUACAAUAUGCUGUUGACUGGGGCAACUCUCACAAGCAAUUGGCACAGCGCAUAGGAAAGGAAGCAAGCGAUUUCGUUCAACAAGAGGUUAAUAUGGACCAUGUGUAUGAUUACAUGCUUCACCUUUUAACCGAAUAUGCCAAGCUUCUAAAGUUCAAGCCAACUAAGCCACCUGAAGCUGUUGAGGUCUGUCCUGAAUCUUUGGUCUGCCAAGCUGGAGGCACUGAGAAGAAGUUUCUUAUGGAAUCCAUGGUGAAGUCUGCCCAUGAUUCAGGUCCAUGUGAUCUUCCCCCACCUUUCAAUCCUCAGGAGCUCACAAUGUUAAAACAGAGGAAAGAAAAUUCAAUUAGGCAGGUUGAAAUGUGGGAGCGGAGAGCUUCAACAACUUAG
Molecule: ribosomal RNA, 1668 nt
Filed under: Triticum aestivum (bread wheat)
Lineage: Eukaryota; Viridiplantae; Streptophyta; Magnoliopsida; Poales; Poaceae
Description: partial small subunit ribosomal RNA
Source: RNAcentral